Long non-coding RNA from Oreochromis niloticus (Nile tilapia), 484 nucleotides. RefSeq lists it as uncharacterized. The transcript has 3 exons. NCBI's taxonomy places the organism in Eukaryota, Metazoa, Chordata, Actinopteri, Cichliformes, Cichlidae. The record is from RefSeq and is a predicted model, not a curated record.
GUUUUUCUCCCUGGAGACAGAGAGAGCCUGUCUCUAGUGCUGCAGAAAUGAUCUCUAACUGCCUUCUGUUGGGCGGGACUUGUCUUGGGGUCCUACCGUGUGACUCCACACACCUGGAGGUAAUGAGCUCACCAGUUCCAGAUCACCUAAUCUGCUGCCACUACUUAAGGCGAUGGUUUGUCUUCAGUCUUUCCUGUACCGCUGAACUAACAACAGCAACUGAAGCUGAUUGCCUGGAGAUCAGAGAGCUGAGACUUUUAUUCGGUGUGAGAGACUCUGAAGAGAAGAGGAACUGUGGAAUUGCCUGUCUGUUUGGAACCUAGACUUCACUGGCUGACACCUUUCCCUUUUUACCCUUGGUGUUUUCAAUAAACCUGUUAAACUUUUCCUCUCAAGUCCAGCCUUUGAGUCCAGUCCGCCUGAGUGGCCAUGACAUACUGUUUGUAAAAUGUUCAGAAGUAAAUUGGUGGAGUGAAUUAUAAAA